GUGAUGCAAAUGCGCCGCUUUAUCCGCCCCAGCGCACCCACCACCCCAGCGCGGGCGGGCGGGCGUCCCCAACGUCCACAGACCCUUCUUAAUUUUCGAAUGCAUGCGAAGGCCACAUCUUAAGGUGGGAAAACAGCAACCAAAACCAAAACGCAGACAAAAAGAACUCGAGCUCAGAACCUCAGGGUCAUUUCUGGGCUCUGUCCCAGGAAGCUCCCGGGCCAAAUCUGGCCGAGGUGCAUCCAGGCCAAGUCCGGGCUGCGCCACCGCGCUUCGUCAAGCCCACGCCCGCGGCACCCUCCGCGCCUCUCGCGGGCAGCGGCCCAGUCCUCUCCCGGGAAGGGGCGCGCGGUCGCCAUCCAGCCGAGGUGGGGGUCCCCCUAUCGCCCAGACUCGGUUUGCGUCCUUCUCUCAACCUUAGCCGAGGGCCCCUGCCACUCGCAAUAACACCGCUACAUCCUCUGCCCCGAAACUUCCCGCCGAGCAACACCCAGCCAUUAACCCCAUCCUCUCCUCCAACACAGAAUUCCAUGCACGAACCUAUUCCCUCUCCCCGCGCUUCAGACACCUCUCUCAUCGGAAAACCGCGUGAAGGGAAGCAGGCACUCAGCAGAGGACCCUGGCUCAAUUAGUCAGGCACUGUCUCCAGUUAUUGGGGAAUACAAUCGUGCCAAUUGAGUCAUAAAUGGAAAAAAAAAAAAUUCCAAACCCGGGAGGCUGGCGAGGACCGCAGGCUGCAGGGCCACUUCCCUUUGGGCUCUGCGAGGUCGCUGGGGAAGGGGGAGAGAAGACCUCAGUGCUCCUGCCCGGUGCCAGGCGCUGUGCCACGGAAGGAAGGCGGGCACUCACUGCCCGGUCUCCAAAGACGCUUUCCCGACUGUCUGGUGCAGCCAGGGCCCCGGCUCCGGCCCUCAUUCCU
This is a long non-coding RNA of Phacochoerus africanus (Common warthog), 919 nucleotides long. RefSeq lists it as uncharacterized. The transcript has 3 exons. The record is from RefSeq and is a predicted model, not a curated record. Lineage: Eukaryota; Metazoa; Chordata; Mammalia; Artiodactyla; Suidae.